This 493-nucleotide ribosomal RNA is filed under the name bacterium SNB-CN15. RNAcentral's name for it is "bacterial SSU rRNA". It matches the Rfam family "Bacterial small subunit ribosomal RNA", at positions 39 to 527 of the family's 1533-position model. The record is from RNAcentral.
GCGGGWGCCUUACACAUGCAAGUCGAACGGCAGCACGGACUUCGGUCUGGUGGCGAGUGGCGAACGGGUGAGUAAUGUAUCGGAACGUGCCUAGUAGCGGGGGAUAACUACGCGAAAGCGUAGCUAAUACCGCAUACGCCCUACGGGGGAAAGCAGGGGAUCGCAAGACCUUGCACUAUUAGAGCGGCCGAUAUCGGAUUAGCUAGUUGGUGGGGUAACGGCUCACCAAGGCGACGAUCCGUAGCUGGUUUGAGAGGACGACCAGCCACACUGGGACUGAGACACGGCCCAGACUCCUACGGGAGGCAGCAGUGGGGAAUUUUGGACAAUGGGGGAAACCCUGAUCCAGCCAUCCCGCGUGUGCGAUGAAGGCCUUCGGGUUGUAAAGCACUUUUGGCAGGAAAGAAACGUCAUGGGUUAAUACCCCGUGAAACUGACGGUACCUGCAGAAUAAGCACCGGCUAACUACGUGCCAGCAGCCGCGGGUAAUACA